Molecule: ribosomal RNA, 616 nt
Filed under: Hypocreales sp. 1 TMS-2011
Lineage: Eukaryota; Fungi; Ascomycota; Sordariomycetes; Hypocreales
Description: eukaryotic LSU rRNA
Rfam family: 5.8S ribosomal RNA (bases 233-386)
Source: RNAcentral
UCUUGGUCAUUUAGAGGAAGUAAAAGUCGUAACAAGGUCUCCGUUGGUGAACCAGCGGAGGGAUCAUUACCGAGUUUACAACUCCCAAACCCUUUGUGAACCUUACCUAUCGUUGCUUCGGCGGGACCGCCCCGGCGCCUUCAAAACGCGCCGGAACAAGGCGCCCGCCGGAGGUAUUCAAACUCUUGUUUUUUAGUGGUAUCUCUGAGUGGCGAAAGCAAAAAUGAAUCAAAACUUUCAACAACGGAUCUCUUGGUUCUGGCAUCGAUGAAGAACGCAGCGAAAUGCGAUAAGUAAUGUGAAUUGCAGAAUUCAGUGAAUCAUCGAAUCUUUGAACGCACAUUGCGCCCGCUAGUAUUCUGGCGGGCAUGCCUGUUCGAGCGUCAUUUCAACCCUCAAGCCCCAGCUGGCUUGGUGUUGGGGACCGGCCGCGACCUCACCGCGCGCCGCCCCCGAAAUAUAGUGGCGGUCUCGCUGCAGCUUCCUCUGCGUAGUAGUAACACCUCGCAGCCAGGGACGCGGCGCGGCCAUGCCGUUAAACCCCCAACUUCUGAAUGUUGACCUCGGAUCAGGUAGGAAUACCCGCUGAACUUAAGCAUAUCAAUAAGCGGAGGAA